This 794-nucleotide ribosomal RNA is filed under the name Pseudomonas aeruginosa. RNAcentral's name for it is "bacterial SSU rRNA". It matches the Rfam family "Bacterial small subunit ribosomal RNA", at positions 38 to 827 of the family's 1533-position model. The record is from RNAcentral. Lineage: Bacteria; Pseudomonadati; Pseudomonadota; Gammaproteobacteria; Pseudomonadales; Pseudomonadaceae.
GGCGGCAGCUACACAUGCAGUCGAGCGGAUGCAAGGGAGCUUGCUCCUGGAUUCAGCGGCGGACGGGUGAGUAAUGCCUAGGAAUCUGCCUGGUAGUGGGGGAUAACGUCCGGAAACGGGCGCUAAUACCGCAUACGUCCUGAGGGAGAAAGUGGGGGAUCUUCGGACCUCACGCUAUCAGAUGAGCCUAGGUCGGAUUAGCUAGUUGGUGGGGUAAAGGCCUACCAAGGCGACGAUCCGUAACUGGUCUGAGAGGAUGAUCAGUCACACUGGAACUGAGACACGGUCCAGACUCCUACGGGAGGCAGCAGUGGGGAAUAUUGGACAAUGGGCGAAAGCCUGAUCCAGCCAUGCCGCGUGUGUGAAGAAGGUCUUCGGAUUGUAAAGCACUUUAAGUUGGGAGGAAGGGCAGUAAGUUAAUACCUUGCUGUUUUGACGUUACCAACACAAUAAGCACCGGCUAACUUCGUGCCAGCACCCGCGGUAAUACGAAGGGUGCAAGCGUUAAUCGGAAUUACUGGGCGUAAAGCGCGCGUACGUGGUUCAGCUAGUUGGAUGUGAAAUCCCCGGGCUCAACCUGGGAACUGCAUCCAAAACUACUGAGCUAGAGUACGGUAGAGGGUGGUGGAAUUUCCUGUGUAGCGGUGAAAAUGCAUAUAUAUAGGAAAGGAACACCAGUGGCGAAGGCGACCACCUGGACUGAUACUGACACUGAGGUGCAAAAGCGUGGGGGAGCAAACAGGAUUAGAUACCCUGGUAUCCCACCCCGUAAACAAUGCCUACUAGUCGUUGGG